GCGUUGAAGGAGUUUUGAGCGGUAAGGAAGAUUGGACGGCGCGUCGAGCUGUUGUUCCUCAACGACAACUACGAAUUAGAGAUGGCAGCAAUGAAUUGGCCGUAGUUGAAUACAUGGAUGAGAUGUAUAAGUUUUAUAAGCUUGGUUGAUUGAAGUUCAUCGCAAAUUUGAACUUAUGAUGACUGUACCAUGGAAGGAACUUCACCUCUAUGAUCAUAGCAUGUAAAUAUGGAGAGAUUUUGGCCUCAGAGGUAAAUUAUUUGUUUUUUUUCCUUUCUUUCACACGUGUGUACUAUCCUUGAAAAACUCUUUUUGAAAGCAAGACUUGAGGAUGUGACACAGAGUAGCUUGUUUAGGCUAUAGGGCCCAAGAGUGCUGGAGAACUGACAUCAUACCUCACACUAUAGUACAUUUUGAGAUAUUUUUUUUAGACAUUUUGAAGGCGAGUAGACAUACAAUUUUGUGCA
Long non-coding RNA from Cucurbita pepo subsp. pepo (vegetable marrow), 467 nucleotides. RefSeq lists it as uncharacterized. The record is from RefSeq and is a predicted model, not a curated record. Lineage: Eukaryota; Viridiplantae; Streptophyta; Magnoliopsida; Cucurbitales; Cucurbitaceae.